UUGUGAUGAACCCAUUAACCCAAUUUGCUGACUUUUCCAAUGGCAUGCAGGUGUUGAUGAAUGAUUGCGUGACCAAAUCCAAGCUUCUUUGCUAGUUCCUCAACAGUUACGAUGGGAUUUUGCUCCACCAAGGUUUGCAGGAGGUCCUUGUCAAGCUCUUCAGAUCUUCUAGGGCAAGGCUCAUCUUCUAGGCUGUAGUUUCCAGCUCAGAUGUUCUGGAACUAUUGUUGAUACUGGCUUACACUUACUGUCUGAUCCCCAUACACUGCAUUGAUAUUCCUUGCACUUUCCACUGCAUUGUUGCUUUUAUUGAACUCAUAAAGCAAAAUAUACUGAAUAUGCUCCUUUGUCACUUCCAUUAUAGCUUUGAAAAAAUAGCUGUUAAAAUCGAACUGCACUCUUCAAAACUUGCACUAAGAAUAAGGACAAGCUAAAAUUACUAUCUGGCUUUAUAGCAAGUUGAUUUAGGUAGUUUAUCCUGUCCCUCUCAGACUUUUAUUUCAUGCAGUUGAAAAAACCACAUUAUUUAUGGGAUGACCCAAUGUGUAUGUGUAUGUGUGUGUAUAUGUAUGUAUGUAUGAACAAACAACA
This is a long non-coding RNA of Octopus sinensis (East Asian common octopus), 591 nucleotides long. RefSeq lists it as uncharacterized. The transcript has 3 exons. NCBI's taxonomy places the organism in Eukaryota, Metazoa, Mollusca, Cephalopoda, Octopoda, Octopodidae. The record is from RefSeq and is a predicted model, not a curated record.